CAACGCCUGCCGUGUUAGUCAGCUUCUCCUUGUUUCGAACCUUGAUUGAAAAAAGGGAGUUCUAUAUUGAAUGUUAGACAGUAAGCCAACGUGACUUGGACACUGGAAGAGAUUCUGCGAACACCCACCUACGAGUGUAGGUUCAUGAAACAAUUGAAGCAACGGCAUACGCGGGUCACAC
RNAcentral lists this non-coding RNA (181 nucleotides) under Halalkalibacter hemicellulosilyticusJCM 9152. RNAcentral's name for it is "Bacillus hemicellulosilyticus JCM 9152 6S / SsrS RNA". It matches the Rfam family "6S / SsrS RNA". Rfam says of the family: E. coli 6S RNA was the first non coding RNA to be sequenced, but its function was unknown until recently. The record is from Rfam by way of RNAcentral. Lineage: Bacteria; Bacillati; Bacillota; Bacilli; Caryophanales; Bacillaceae.